This 82-nucleotide transfer RNA is filed under the name Andreprevotia lacus DSM 23236. It matches the Rfam family "tRNA". Rfam says of the family: Transfer RNA (tRNA) molecules are approximately 80 nucleotides in length. Their secondary structure includes four short double-helical elements and three loops (D, anti-codon, and T loops). Further hydrogen bonds mediate the characteristic L-shaped molecular structure. tRNAs have two regions of fundamental functional importance: the anti-codon, which is responsible for specific mRNA codon recognition, and the 3' end, to which the tRNAs corresponding amino acid is attached (by aminoacyl-tRNA synthetases). tRNAs cope with the degeneracy of the genetic code in two manners: having more than one tRNA (with a specific anti-codon) for a particular amino acid; and 'wobble' base-pairing, i.e. permitting non-standard base-pairing at the 3rd anti-codon position. Lineage: Bacteria; Pseudomonadati; Pseudomonadota; Betaproteobacteria; Neisseriales; Chitinibacteraceae. The record is from Rfam by way of RNAcentral.
GCCCCGAUGGUGAAAUUGGUAGACACAAGGGACUUAAAAUCCCUCGACUUCGGUUGUGCCGGUUCGACCCCGGCUCGGGGCA